This 75-nucleotide transfer RNA is filed under the name Methanomicrobia archaeon. Its description in RNAcentral is "tRNA-Glu". Lineage: Archaea; Methanobacteriati; Methanobacteriota; Methanomicrobia. The record is from RNAcentral.
GCUCCGCUGGUGUAGCCGGGCCAAUCAUUCGGGCCUCUCGAGCCCGAGACCGGGUUUCAAAUCCCCGGCGGAGCA